Molecule: long non-coding RNA, 3560 nt
Organism: Oryzias sinensis (Chinese medaka)
Lineage: Eukaryota; Metazoa; Chordata; Actinopteri; Beloniformes; Adrianichthyidae
Source: Ensembl
AAAUAUGUAAAUUCCUAUUUCAACAGACAAAAAGAACAGAUUUUAUGAUUUGCAAAGCUCUAAAUUUAUUUGUUUUUUUUAGUCUGCAGUAAGUGUGCAAAGGAUGUCCUCCUGCAGCAACUCUAAAGAGUCAUUUACGGAUGCAAGAGAGCGACAUUCAAGUGAAGGUGGGAAUUACUUAAAUAUUAAUGUAUAUUUUCCAAGCAUAAAAUAUGAGGGUAAAUCUUUAUAUACUUUAGCAGUGACAUAUGGUUACAUCUGAUAUUUUUCUGGUCUAUGCAGAGCAUCAAAACAAAGAUCCACAUGAUUUAUCAAAGGGGCUGGAAGAUAUGAAACGUUUACAGACUCCUAAAUCCACUGACAGACUGGAGACAGAAAAAAUUUCAGACACAAAGACAAAAGAAGAAGACAAAGACUUGGACCAAAUCACAGAGGAAGCAGAGAAAGCGCAAACAGAACAAGGAGAGGCCAAUAGAACAGAGGUCUGUGCACAAACAUCUGCAACGUGGUUUUAGAUAAAAAACAUAUUCUUUGACAGUGAAAUGUAAGUUUUUCAUUUCAAAAUCUGAGAUGAUCUUGUGACCUUUGAAACACUUCAUAGGAACGUCUGAUGGAAAAAGAACAACUGACCAUAAAUGAAGGGUUACACUUUUUGUGUGAAGAUGAUGAUGCUGAGGAUUCACAUAUGACAACAGAAGAGAGCAAAACUGAGACUUCUCAACAUUUACCAAAGCCAGAGGAAGAAAAGCAUGUUGAAGAUGAGCUACAGUGUCAGUUCAACAAAUAUGAGCUGAGCCAGGUUGAAGUUGGACAUAUUCUGCAGCACUGGGACCGAGCCAGGGGCCUGUUGCUGGCUCCUCUUCACCCAGGUCAAACCCAUCCAUGGUUGGAUGAGUUUUCAACAGGAAAACAGCUCCCUGCUGUCCUUAAGAAGAGUAGGAAAGGAGCCCUCAAGAACCUUUCUCCAGUGCCGACUCAGAGAGCAGCAUCAGCUGAAGCUGACUACAAGUCGCCCUCACUCGCCAUUCCUCAAAUUGUCUUGAAAAUAAUGGAGGGCGAUGGAGAAAGUACCUCAGAACAGCUCAUCAGCACCCUCCCUCUACCUGAUGAGGUACUGCAAACAUUAUUUACACCUGGCUUGAUGCUUACACUCAGUUUUAUUUUUGCUAAACACUGUUUUACUUUCUUUAGGUGUUAGAUGAUUUAGGACCAGGUGGACCCCCGAUACGUCCUGCCACUAUGUUCUCUGUUGUUCCUUUCCCCACAUACAGAGACCAAACCAAGGUUCAACAGACAUGCUUCCGAUUCCUUCUUCCCCCAAUCCCAGAUGAAGAAGAAGAGAGCAAAGAUGUAGAGGACGAAACAAAAUUAUCUGUAAAGGUUGUUUUCAUUUUCCACCAAAAACAUAUCGUAACAUUUGAUAAACACACAUUGAGAACCAAAUUAUUCUGUUGACUGUUUUGUGCUCUUUUAGGAGGUGUCAACAGCCUCCAAAAUUUUCAAAAGAAGCAGUUUCAAAGAGAGCGCAGUGCCAAAGGACAGAGAUAAAAAGGUCAAAGAGGUCCAUAAGAGCAAAAGAAUAAAUUCCAGCAAGACUAGAGAAAAGAGCUUGGAUGAGACAAGAGAAGAAAGAAGGCAAGAGCAGCUCACAUACUACAAAACUUCAACUGUUGUGCUUUUGUUCAAGUGUAUUGAUUGUCUGCACUCUUUGUCUAGCCUGAGCACAUUUCGAUGGGUUGUUCCAGCUGGCGGGGAGGUAGGUCUAAAGGUCUGGUUCUACUCAGAAACACCUGGAAAGUUUGAGCAGACCUUCAACUUUGAGCUUGUGGGAACCCGGAAACUCUACCAGCUGACCUGCAGAGGACUCUGCAGCUACCCUUCAAUCUGCAAAGACUACAUGUGAGUCUACUUCGUUUGACCGAACUCCACCGCUGAAGAAAUAGAAUCCUAAAAUUAUAAUUUUUACACAUUAAGAAAAAACAACUAUAAGAAGUUGUUCUGAUUGUGCCUCUUUUUCCCCUUUUAUACCAUGAAUUUAGCAUGUUUGUCUCCACAGGACCUUGUUUGCCAAGAGUAAGAAAGUACCACGAACACAGAAAGGCCUUCAGAAAACGUAUGUGAUAAAACCUGGAUACUUUGAGUUUGGGCCUUUACUCUGCAGCAAAAGCAGAGACAGGUGAGGACAGAGUCACGCUCAAAUUUGCUUUUAUGUCAUGGAUUCCGUCCUUUAUCUGCAGAUCAUCGUGUUUGUGCUCAGGUACAAGGAUGGCAGAUACCCAGAAAACACAGUGAAGCUUUUAAUUCACAACAACUCAAGUCUAGAGGCAGAGAUCCACUUUAGCUUCCAACAUGACACUCAUGCUGCUACAUUUCUGCUGGACCCCCCAACCAUGACACUCAAACCUGACCAGAAACAGGUGCCCCCCCCUUACCUAUCGUCUUGAUUUUUCUUUUUUUCUUUUUUUUGACCGUUGUUUCCUCAUUUCACUGAAAGACUUGUGUUCUUCUAGGAGCUGACAGUGUGGGCCUACCCAACAAAAGAAGGAGAAAUGAAGGACUGCAUUGUUUGUCAAAUCAGGGAUAAUCCUGAACCUGUUAUCAUCAGUCUGUCCUGCUGGGGGGUUCGGCCAGAGCUGGAGUUGGACAACAAGCACUUGCACUUUGGAAAGGUUCUGGUACACAGGUACCAUGAUGCUUAAAAGCAUAAACAACUGAUAACAAAUUAUGGUAUAUAACUUUUAUAAUCAUCUCACCUGGUUCAUAUGAUCUUUUUUAUUUUAGGGAGGACAGCCACAGUGUGAAUGUUCUCAAUAAGACAGUUCUGCCAGUGUGCUGGAGGCUUCAGGGUGUGGAGGAGUUAGGUGAUGAGUUUCUGGUGCCACAGGAUCAGGGUAUUGUCCCACCAAACACCUCUGUCCCCAUAUGCAUGAACUUUAAAGCCAAGAAACCACUUGUUGUCAAGAAGAUCCUACGUUUGGAGGUGAGUUAAACACAUCUCAGAGGAUCAUUUUCUGAUACUUAAAGAUGAUAACACAGAUCUAUGCAGUAGCUAGCUGAUGGGAUUUUUUUUGUUUCAGGUGUCAGAUAUGGAAAAUAUUCUUGGAAUUGUUCAAACUGAAAACAUUAUUGUCUCUGCUGAAGCCUACAACAUCGAAGUGGAGAUCACACCAGGUAGCAUCUGUCAAAGUUUUGUAGAGGUUUGGUUUUAUUUCAGAAUGUAACUGCUGGCAUUUUUAAUGUAUACUGGUAUAAUUAAACUGGUAUUUGUUUCAACAAACUGAAAACAAACCACUCCCAUCGCUGAUACCCUUACAAACAGUUGCUAACUUCAUUUUGUUAGGGUUCUUGGAUUCACAUGAGCUAUGGCACACUUGAAUUUAAGUUUUCUCAAUUACACAAAAAGCUGUCACUCAGUCAUGACUCUCCUCCAUUCUUUAAAUUUAAAAACCAAAUCUGUAAACACGCAGAGAGAGACCUGCGUGAUUUGAUUUAAUUGGGAAAUUAAUUUUAUGGAGACUUAGUUUUAAAAAAUUUAAUAUCCCUUUUAAACUACAUUUUUA